Arachis ipaensis is the source of this 1097-nucleotide non-coding RNA. The record is from RefSeq and is a predicted model, not a curated record. Lineage: Eukaryota; Viridiplantae; Streptophyta; Magnoliopsida; Fabales; Fabaceae.
AAAAUAAGAAAAGAGAGUAGUAAAUGAUAAGUGAUAAUAGAGAUAUUUUGGGAUGAGAAUGAAAAUAUCUACUGCACUGUGAUGACCCGUUGGGUUGAGCUGAUUCUAAAUGAAACCCCCACCGGUUGACGUGGCGGUGCUUUGGACCCACUACGGUACUACACAUGUAAAAGUGCUCAUAUCUCCGAUCUUCACCGCUUUCUCUAUCUCCUUCAAUUCCUCCUUCACUUUUCUUAUUCUUAAUAAUUCAUCUUUCUCUGUUUCAUCACGCCCACUCCCCCCAAAUCCCGCAAAUGAAGAAGAACAAUUUCAAGAUAAAAGAAAAAACUGCCAUGUGUUCACCCACCACUGAUCUCCUUUUGCCACCACAACAGAUACAGGUAGCUAGUUUCCUUUAACUACUUCUCCAUGUUCAUUCCUCCUAACAAUUAUUAGUACAAGACUCUGCCAUUAGUUUAUAUAUUCACAGUGACGAAGCAACCCAUAAAAUUCAUCUUCAAUAAAUAGAGGGAUCAGUGUCUACAGCAGAGUGGACAGACGAGAAACACAGCAUGUUUCUUAACUCUAUGGAAGCAUCAUUUGUCCACCAAUUAUAUGACUUCAAGCAAACAUUCGCCUCAAUCACUAGACUCAACGAGUCUCAUGAUUUAAAAACAAAUCCGUGGAUUCAGCACUAUGGAUCUUCACACAAACUAGGUGCUCCACAUGCUCCAAUUGUUCAUGCAGAGAUGUCGGAUCAGAACUUUGCCGAUGAAGAAGCUGAAGAGCAACAAAAGGAAAACAACAAAAGAGAUGUAAAAAGACUUAAAAGGCCUUUGAUAAAUGAUGAUGCUGCUGCAACAAUGAGAUACUGUAAAACAUAGUUUUAGUCGCUAUGGAUAUUGGAGAUGAGUGGGUUGAUAUCCAUUCAAAAUGUUGCUUCAGAUAUCCUUAACAAGUGGUGUAGAAUGUAGAGAUUAGAAUCGAGAGAAGCUAAGCUAAGCUUUUAAUGUGCAUGCUAGUAUUAGAAUCAUGAGAAAUUUAACUAUGAAUAUAUAUGCACACGCACUUAUGGUUAUGGCCAGUUUCAGAUUUAUGAUAGCAGCUAAUUUGAGUAA